GCAGUGGCUCUAUCUCAGCUCAUUGCAACCUCUGCCUCCCAAGUUCAAGUGAUUCUUCUGCCUCAGCCUCCCGAGUAGCUGGGAUUACACGACCACCAUGCCCAGCCGGAAAACCAUUGGUACUUGCCCCAGGUAGGAGGAGGAGCAGAGAACAGAAGGUUUCUGUGGAGCUGCGUUAAUCACCAAGGAGAGGCAGAUGGCUCCAAGCCCACAGAGUGUGACCCAGGUCUGCUGGAGUUUGCUCGAGGUCCACUCCAGACCCUGUUUGGGUAUCACCAGUGGAGGCUGCAGAACAGGAAAGAUUGCUGCCUGUUCCUUCCCCUGGAAGCUUCAUCCCAGAGGGGCACCCGCCAGAUGCCAGCCAGAGCUCUCCGAGAUGCCCUGCCCAGAGAGGAGGAAUCUAGAGAGGCAGACUGGAUACAGCAGCUUUGCUGAGCUGUGGUGGGCUCCGCCCAGUUUGAACUUCCUGGAGUCUUCAUGUACACUGUGAAGGGAAAACUACCUACUGAAGCCUCAGUAAUGGUGGACACCACUCCCCACACCAAGCUCAAGUGUCCCAAGUUGACUUCAGACUGCUGUGCUGGCAGUAACAAUUUCAAGCCAGUGGAUCUUAGCUUGCUGGUCUCCAUUGGGGUGGGAUCCCUGAGCUAGACCGCCUGGCUUCCUGACUUCAGACCCCUUUCCAGGGGAGCGAAUGGUUCUGUCUCGCUGGCAUUCCAAGCACCACCGGGGUAUGAAAAAAACUGCAGCUAGCUUGGUGUCUGCCCAAACAGCUGCCCAGUUUUGUGCUUGAAACCCAGGGCCCUGGUGGUGUAGGCACCUGAGGGAAUCUCCUGGUCUGCGGGUUGUGAAGACUAUGGGAAAAGCAUAGUAUCUGGGCCAGAAGGUACUGUUCCUCAUGGUGCAGUCCCUCAUGGCUUCCCUUGGCUAGGGGAGGGAGUUCCCUGACCCCUUGUGCUUCCUGGGUGAGGUGAUGCCCCACCCUGCUUCAGCUCACUCUCUGUGGGCUGCACCCACUCUUUAACCAGUCCCAAUGAGAUGAGCUGUGUACCUCAGUUGGAAAUGCAGAAAUCAUCUGCCUUCUGUGUUGAUCUUGCUGGGAGCUACAGACCAGAGCUGUUCCUAUUCAGCCAUCUUGCCAGCCAAAUAUUUUCUUAAGAAGAUGAAGUUAACAGACUAUCUGACACUGUGUUUCACAAUGUUUAUGGGAGUUUUAGAUAUGUGACAGAGUUUGGAAUUGAAUUGAUGAUAAGUAAAUAUACUACUCAUCUUAUGAGCAAAUAAGAAAAAACAAGCAAACAGCAGUUCCUUCUCACCUGGGUCCUUCUUUCUCCCAUUCCCAGUCAAUAAAAGCUUGUGCAGGAAAUGGAA
RNAcentral lists this long non-coding RNA (1371 nucleotides) under Homo sapiens (human). Its description in RNAcentral is "RIG-I dependent antiviral response regulator RNA". The record is from RNAcentral. Lineage: Eukaryota; Metazoa; Chordata; Mammalia; Primates; Hominidae.